GAUGAACGCUGGCGGCGUGCCUAAUACAUGCAAGUCGAGCGAACGGACGAGAAGCUUGCUUCUCUGAUGUUAGCGGCGGACGGGUGAGUAACACGUGGAUAACCUACCUAUAAGACUGGGAUAACUUCGGGAAACCGGAGCUAAUACCGGAUAAUAUUUUGAACCGCAUGGUUCAAAAGUGAAAGACGGUCUUGCUGUCACUUAUAGAUGGAUCCGCGCUGCAUUAGCUAGUUGGUAAGGUAACGGCUUACCAAGGCAACGAUGCAUAGCCGACCUGAGAGGGUGAUCGGCCACACUGGAACUGAGACACGGUCCAGACUCCUACGGGAGGCAGCAGUAGGGAAUCUUCCGCAAUGGGCGAAAGCCUGACGGAGCGACGCCGCGUGAGUGAUGAAGGUCUUCGGAUCGUAAAACUCUGUUAUUAGGGAAGAACAUAUGUGUAAGUAACUGUGCACAUCUUGACGGUACCUAAUCAGAAAGCCACGGCUAACUACGUGCCAGCAGCCGCGGUAAUACGUAGGUGGCAAGCGUUAUCCGGAAUUAUUGGGCGUAAAGCGCGCGUAGGCGGUUUUUUAAGUCUGAUGUGAAAGCCCACGGCUCAACCGUGGAGGGUCAUUGGAAACUGGAAAACUUGAGUGCAGAAGAGGAAAGUGGAAUUCCAUGUGUAGCGGUGAAAUGCGCAGAGAUAUGGAGGAACACCAGUGGCGAAGGCGACUUUCUGGUCUGCAACUGACGCUGAUGUGCGAAAGCGUGGGGAUCAAACAGGAUUAGAUACCCUGGUAGUCCACGCCGUAAACGAUGAGUGCUAAGUGUUAGGGGGUUUCCGCCCCUUAGUGCUGCAGCUAACGCAUUAAGCACUCCGCCUGGGGAGUACGACCGCAAGGUUGAAACUCAAAGGAAUUGACGGGGACCCGCACAAGCGGUGGAGCAUGUGGUUUAAUUCGAAGCAACGCGAAGAACCUUACCAAAUCUUGACAUCCUUUGACAACUCUAGAGAUAGAGCCUUCCCCUUCGGGGGACAAAGUGACAGGUGGUGCAUGGUUGUCGUCAGCUCGUGUCGUGAGAUGUUGGGUUAAGUCCCGCAACGAGCGCAACCCUUAAGCUUAGUUGCCAUCAUUAAGUUGGGCACUCUAAGUUGACUGCCGGUGACAAACCGGAGGAAGGUGGGGAUGACGUCAAAUCAUCAUGCCCCUUAUGAUUUGGGCUACACACGUGCUACAAUGGACAAUACAAAGGGCAGCGAAACCGCGAGGUCAAGCAAAUCCCAUAAAGUUGUUCUCAGUUCGGAUUGUAGUCUGCAACUCGACUACAUGAAGCUGGAAUCGCUAGUAAUCGUAGAUCAGCAUGCUACGGUGAAUACGUUCCCGGGUCU
Molecule: ribosomal RNA, 1372 nt
Filed under: uncultured bacterium
Lineage: Bacteria
Description: bacterial SSU rRNA
Rfam family: Bacterial small subunit ribosomal RNA
Source: RNAcentral